Long non-coding RNA from Panthera uncia (snow leopard), 347 nucleotides. RefSeq lists it as uncharacterized. Lineage: Eukaryota; Metazoa; Chordata; Mammalia; Carnivora; Felidae. The transcript has 2 exons. The record is from RefSeq and is a predicted model, not a curated record.
GACUCACCUUGAAUACAGCAGAGCUGGUAUUCAAACCCUGGCUUCAGAGUCCAUGCUCCUAACCACGAUGGAAGGACCAUUUAGUCAACAAGGCCAUUCAGAGGAGGCUUCUUGGAAGAGGUGUGUUCGACUGAAAUUUGAAGGAUUAGUUAUUUUCCAACAGAUGUUGAUCCCCAGAGUCCCUCCCUAUCAACCUCCUGCGUGAUCCUCUUCGUCUCAGAGUCAAUGUCCAGGGGAAUUGGACCUUCACACAGGAAAUCACUGAAGAUCAAGUCUGAUCCAAGUAUUGAGUUAGGAUUCUAGGUGGACAGUCUUAUCCCCAGUCCUAUAAAAAUGUCACUCUCCUC